RNAcentral lists this long non-coding RNA (209 nucleotides) under Gallus gallus (chicken). Lineage: Eukaryota; Metazoa; Chordata; Aves; Galliformes; Phasianidae. The record is from RNAcentral.
CCCCCACGUGACAUACGGGGUACCCCAAAUCCCUUUGGGGUUUCUCCCAUCAGCGGUGCUGCCUGCGGUGUCGGAGGAUCUCAGUGGGGGUGAAGGAGAAAUCCCGCUGGCACUCAUGGCAGUGGUACGGCCGCUGCAGGGCUGAGGUCGGGGGGCAGCUCUGGGGUUCCUCUUCUUGGGGGGCGUCCGGCGGCCGACACGCGUUCUCG